AUGAGAGAAGAAGGUAGAAGUAAUGUUUAACCUUUUUUAUCAAUCCAUUCAUUUAAUUCCACAAGAAAUCAAUAACAAUUAGCGAAAAAGUUGAAUUGUUUGACAUUCAGGCAAACAAUAAAAAUGAUUUUAAGGUUGUUGUUAAAAUGAACACAACUUUUAAUGCUGAUAUUAAUCAAAAACCAAAUCAAGGAGGGUUAAUAAUGUCGGGCUUUGGCAACUACUUGCUUAAUUUUGAUCUUAUUUACACAUACAAACCAUUUAAAAACAAACCAAUUCUAGAGACAAGUAUUGUUAAAAACUCUGAUAAUAAAUUAGGGAAUUUGUGAUA
This 331-nucleotide small RNA is filed under the name Mycoplasmoides pneumoniae M129. RNAcentral's name for it is "Mycoplasma pneumoniae M129 ncRNA". The record is from RNAcentral. Lineage: Bacteria; Bacillati; Mycoplasmatota; Mycoplasmoidales; Mycoplasmoidaceae.